Molecule: small nucleolar RNA, 144 nt
Organism: Alosa alosa (allis shad)
Lineage: Eukaryota; Metazoa; Chordata; Actinopteri; Clupeiformes; Clupeidae
Product: small nucleolar RNA U3
Exons: 1
Source: RefSeq, a predicted model, not a curated record
UACUUUCAGGGAUCAUUUCUAUAGUCCUUGACUUGGAAAUACGUUUCGAAAGUGUUGUGUCUCGCUAUUCAUGAUGAUGAGCUAUAAUGCUUUUCUUUGAGCGCGAAUCGGACAGCGAUCGAGACUUUUCAUGCUCAGAAUAGA